This 72-nucleotide transfer RNA is filed under the name Ornithorhynchus anatinus (platypus). It matches the Rfam family "tRNA". Rfam says of the family: Transfer RNA (tRNA) molecules are approximately 80 nucleotides in length. Their secondary structure includes four short double-helical elements and three loops (D, anti-codon, and T loops). Lineage: Eukaryota; Metazoa; Chordata; Mammalia; Monotremata; Ornithorhynchidae. The record is from Rfam by way of RNAcentral.
AGCAGCGUGGCUCAGUGGAAAGAGCACGGGCUUGGGAGUCAGAGGUCAUAGGUUCGAAUCCUGGCUCUGCCA